GAAAAGAGAGAUUUCGGCCUCAUUUGGCUUAAAAGGGGAUAGAAGAAAUGUAUUUGACAACAAAGCAAAUUUUAUACUAUAUCAAAAAAAUAAUGUUCAAAUAAUAAAACUAAACAUUCCCAAUAUUUCAGCCCUAAGGCAACAUUCAAGGCGAACAAAAACGUUGUUGCUGGUGUCUGGGGCCUCUAAUCAAGGAUGCCUGGGUGUGCUUCCCAAAAACUCUGCUCAAUUAUAUUACAAUAUUCUACGAUUACCUUAUUUCGUAGUUUUUCAACAGAUGAUCCAUUCUCAUGUAUCACAACAUCCUCCUUUACGCUGAAAACAGAGGAACCCUGGCGAAGAAUGGCUGGUAAUGCAUUGUAGUCAAUACCAAAUUGUGCAAGAAUUUGAUUUUUCUCCCGUGCUUGAGUGCCCUGCAUGACAAGAACAUUUGCAGUACAUAACUAAGCGCUGAUUUAUCUAGUGAUUGCCUCCCCAAGAAAAUUGUAAACAUCAAUGCCAAAACUAUGAUUAACAAGCAUGAGGCAUUUAAUAAAAGGAGAUGAAGAGAGAGGUAGAGGACGAAACCUUUAAAGUAUUUUGAGCAUCACUUUUACUUUUUCCAGACUUAACAAGUGCCCAAAAACAAGUAUUGUAUUGAUUGUUGAUGUGGCAAUCAACUUGUCUCCAAGCAAGAUAAUCUCGAAGAAUCUCAGAUGAUGGAUAGCAUAUAGCCCUUCCAUCAAAGGAGGGAGUAUACUUGAGUUCUUUCUGCGGGAAGAAAGAUUUCCAAUUCAUCACAUACAUUGAGGAGAAGAAUGAAACGAUGGCAGAAACGAUACCACUGCACAAGCAGAAUUGAGAAUGAAUAAUAUAUCAAAAAUAGGUCAGGAGGACUAUGUGCAGUGGAAGCCGAAGUUCAAGUAACAUAUCAGGAUGCAAUGGCUACAUAGACAACUUAGACCCUUCAGCCAUGCAUGUGCCAUGUGUAAUAGAAAAGGAGAGCUGGGCAUUGCAGUUAUUAAGCUCACUAGGGUUAAAGAAAUACCUGGCUUGCCUCUGCAAAAAUUUAGAAUCCUUCUUCAAAACAAAGCUGAAAAUUAUACAACUAAACAUGUGAAUACUGAACUUGCAGGUCCAAAUACAGAUUCAAGACAUCAAAGUAAGGAACACAAAUCUGCUACCUGUACUCAUCACUAACACCAUAAGAAAAAAUAACAUCUUGAAACUCUUCUAAAACAGCCACUGCACAUGAAUUCAUAAGGUUCAGAGCUUGCACAUCAUUGGGCUUCUCAAAUGCAUGAACAUCACAAAAUCUACCACAAACAACAAAACUGAAUUAUUUCCUGGCAAGGUAGCUAGGAAAGCAAAAAGAAAUCAUGCAUCAGACUUGACAGUUGACAACAUCAUGGUCUGUUGUGUUUGGAGAUAACUCAUACUAACUUGAAGUUGCAAUAAAAUUUGCAUGUACAGUGAAAGCAAGAAGCAUGGAUACAAGGAAUUUAUGCCUGCGACUUAGAUAUGCCUGGUUACGCAUUAUCCAUUGGUUAAAAAACCUAAUCAAGGGAUUGCAAUUUCCUGAGUUAUAACUUAUAAUCUAUAAGUUACAUAAACGUAGGCUACAAAAAAUUCUAAAACUUCCAAAAGAACUGAAUGAUUUGUUUUUCAUUUAUUUUCAGAAAAGCAGAACUGCUAUUGCAUUGAGGCUAUUGGAAAGAAAAAAUAAUUGCUCCAACAAGAACAAUUGACAAUAUUGCCAGACUUUACCUGUGAAAAUGGCAUCCAUCAAUUCUAAUCACAAUCCAAGUAGAGGGCAUCAGUUUGUUUUCAAAUAGGAAAGACCUAAUGUAAUCAGGGUUAAUUUUACCAAUGUCUUCUGCAAAACAACCUAGCUGCUUAAGAAGAUUUUGGUGCACAUUCCAAAAGCUUCUCCCAGCGAUGUUCUCUGAAUGGAGUAUUCUUGCCUUUCUCCGUAGUCUUUUGACAGGAGUACCGUUCUCACUAUACUUCGCAAUAUCUUCCUCCUGUGUCAUGAAAACACAAGAUCCUUGACGGAACAUCUCAGGAAGUUUUUUGUAGUUGACACCAAAUUCUUGAAAGAGAAGCUCAUUUUUCUCUUGCUUUUGAGUGCCCUUUAAAAUUUCUUGCGCUUCUUUUUCAGUCUUCCCACUUUCAACCAGCUUCCAAAGACAAGUGUUGUACUGGUUAUUAGCAUGGCAGUCAUUCUGUCUCCAUGCAAGAUAUUCUUGUAGAACCUCUAUUGUUGCACAACAUAUAACCCGCCCAUUAAAUGUUGGGGGAUAUCUCAUAUCUUUCAUGGGGAAAAACUCCUUCCAUUUUGUAGCAUAUAUCGAAGAGAAAAAAGAAACAAUGAGGGAUAGAAUUUUGCUGCACAUUCGAAGCAAUAAACCAAUAAAUACUCCAUCCAAGACAACCAAGUUUUCUGACAUAAACACCACCCUAAUUUAAGUUAUCCCUAGGUCACCAGCCCCUCUCUCUCUCACCAGAAAAGGAACACACAGCUCAAACCACCAUUUUUUCCUACCAUCGAGUACUGCCUACCACAAACCACUGGAAUCAACCAUCAAACCAAACCUUUUCUAGACCACCAUUUCUUUAUCAACAGUCAUUGCAAACCAUUAUUACUUCAGCUAUAAUAUCACUGUUAAACAAAAAUCACCAUAAAAACAAUGUAAACCACCAUGCAACUCUUAGAUUUAUGCUUUUUUUACUAAUGGGGAUAGGCAGGAUUUCAAGCGUCAAAGAAGUCUAUUGUUACUUGUAUUUGAGUUGAUGACUAAUUCACAUAAUUAACCCAGCCUAACAAUCUGAUAUCCAAUAAUCCCAUCAGUGAAAUCAGACAGGAUCAUAAUUGUAUAAUCUUAUAGGCAUCUUUGAAGACAAAUUUUCUUGAACUAGAUAAAAGAAAUAUAUCAAGACAUUAUGAACUAAGAUGUAAGAUCCUACAAAAAGAAUCCAAUUACAAAUGGAGUUCAUUAGAGAAGAUGUCCCAGGGAAGAUGAUGGCAAGUAAACUGCACGAAGAGGGAAAGCAUAUGAAAAACAACUAAAAGGCAGCUACACUACAGGCAGUAGAAAAUUCUACAAAUCAGAUACAAAUAACAUAAAGCUGAAUAACCAAUUAAAUCUUACAUGGAUACUACAGCAGAGAAAUCAAUUGUAGAUAAAGUUGCAUUGAAGUAAAUGCAGAUACAAAGGCAGAAGAAGGAAAGAAUUUGCUAUAGAUUAACUUUCUUUUCCUAAUUUACUUUCUUUUCUUCUUGUUCUUUUCCUGUGUACAAGAGGUUGGUACAUUUUAGACACAGCUUAAACAAUGUAAAUGGAAUUGCCACAAAGUUUUAUAGCUGAAAAUAGUAAAAGAUCGUUGUCUCAUCAUUGGCAAUGGCAGAGAAAGGCAAGAGAGUUCCUAACAAUUUAAAAAGAGAGGGGAAAAAAAACUCAUCAAAGAGGACCUGGCUCUCCUUUGGUAGAACUUCGUUGUCUUCUUGAAAACAAAACUAUAUUCAUCACUAAAGCCGUAGGAGAAGACAAUGUCAGGAUACUCUUCUAAAACAGAGAUUGCGCAAGCAUUCAUCAAAUUCAAGGCUUUCUCAUCAUUUGGUCUCUCAAAUUCAUGAACUUCGGAGAAUCUUCGAAAAUCACGACCAUCGAUUCGAACAACAAUGAGGUUAGGGAACAUGACCUCAUCAUUAGCCUCGAAUGACUUCACGUACUCGUAUUUGCUGUUUGCCAUUACACUCUGCUUUGCUUCGCUAUUGUGUCAAUUUCUCUCAU
This 3773-nucleotide unclassified non-coding RNA is filed under the name Hevea brasiliensis (rubber tree). The record is from RNAcentral. Lineage: Eukaryota; Viridiplantae; Streptophyta; Magnoliopsida; Malpighiales; Euphorbiaceae.